This 2178-nucleotide ribosomal RNA is filed under the name Mycetina amabilis. RNAcentral describes it as "eukaryotic LSU rRNA". It matches the Rfam family "Eukaryotic large subunit ribosomal RNA", at positions 44 to 1873 of the family's 3401-position model. Lineage: Eukaryota; Metazoa; Arthropoda; Insecta; Coleoptera; Endomychidae. The record is from RNAcentral.
UACUAAGCGGAGGAAAAGAAACUAACUAGGAUUCCCUUAGUAGCGGCGAGCGAACAGGGAAAAGCCCAGCACCGAAUCCCGCUGUCGGAAACGGCGGCCGGGAAAUGUGGUGUUUGGAAGGGUCCGUUAUCCCGAGAAUAAGCAGCGCGUCCAAGUCCAUCUUGAACGGGGCCAUUACCCAUAGAGGGUGCCAGGCCCGUAGCGACCGCUGCUGUUUUCGGGAGGAUCUCUUCCGAGAGUCGGGUUGCUUGAGAGUGCAGCCCUAAGUGGGUGGUAAACUCCAUCUAAGGCUAAAUAUAACCACGAGACCGAUAGCGAACAAGUACCGUGAGGGAAAGUUGAAAAGAACUUUGAAGAGAGAGUUCAAUAGUACGUGAAACCGUUCAGGGGUAAACCUGAGAAACCCGAAAGUUCGAAAGGGGAGAUUCAUUCGCGUUUCGAAGUACGGCGUAAUGCGGUGCGACGAACGACGUUCGCGUCGUUCGCGUUUUCCGCGUGACGAUCCGCGAUCGAACGCGUGCACUUCUCCCCUAGUAGGACGUCGCGAUCCGUUGGGUGUCGGUCUAGGGCCCGCGGUGGAGCCCGCGAGCACGGUUCGCCGUUGUUCGCGGACCCGCGGUGUUUCCCGGCCGACUCGCUCGACGGUCUAACAACGACGUGAGGCCGCGAUUUAUUCGCGUUCGACUAGCGGCAAGCUCGUCUUUCGAAUCGGUGAUCGGACCUAGCGCCGAUCCCGAUCGGCGGCGGCUGUGGCCGUUAUGUUCUCGAACAGACCUCGUACGUCGAUCGGCGACGCUAUAGCUUUGGGUACUUUCAGGACCCGUCUUGAAACACGGACCAAGGAGUCUAGCAUGUGCGCGAGUCAUUGGGACACGACUAAACCUAAAGGCGUAAUGAAAGUAAAAGUCGGCCUAGCGCCGACCGAGGGAAGAUGGGCGAUCGUUCGCGGUCGCCCCGCACUCCCGGGGCGUCUCGUUCUCAUUGCGAGAAGAGGCGCACCAAGAGCGUACACGCUGGGACCCGAAAGAUGGUGAACUAUGCCUGGUCAGGACGAAGUCAGGGGAAACCCUGAUGGAGGUCCGUAGCGAUUCUGACGUGCAAAUCGAUCGUCGGAACUGGGUAUAGGGGCGAAAGACCAAUCGAACUAUCUAGUAGCUGGUUCCCUCCGAAGUUUCCCUCAGGAUAGCUGGCGCUCGUAGCAUACGAGUCUCAUCCGGUAAAGCGAAUGAUUAGAGGCAUUGGGGUCGAAACGACCUCAACCUAUUCUCAAACUUUAAAUGGGUGAGAUCUCCGGCUUGCUCGAACUUGAAGCCGCGAGAUAUCGGAUCAGAGUGCCAAGUGGGCCAUUUUUGGUAAGCAGAACUGGCGCUGUGGGAUGAACCAAACGCCGAGUUAAAGCGCCUAAAUCGACGCUUAUGGGAUACCAUGAAAGGCGUUGGUAACUUAAGACAGCAGGACGGUGGCCAUGGAAGUCGGAAUCCGCCAAGGAGUGUGUAACAACUCACCUGCCGAAGUUACUAGCCCUGAAAAUGGAUGGCGCUGAAGCGUCGUGCUUAUACUCGGCCGUCAGCGGCAUGUGCGAUCGUCUCGAACGGUCAUGAAGCCCUGACGAGUAGGAGGGUCGCGGCGGUGUGCGCAGAAGGGCUGGCCGUGAGGCCGUCUGGAGCCGCCGUCGGUGCAGAUCUUGGUGGUAGUAGCAAAUACUCCGGCGAGGACCUGGAGGACUAACGUGGAGAAGGGUUUCGUGUGAACAGCCGUUGCACACGAGUCAGUCGAUCCUAAGCCCUAGGCGAAAGCCGAUGUUGAUGCGGUGUUGUUUCAUUUGAAAAAAUUUAUUUUUAAUUAAAUAGACGCACCCGUUGGGCGAAAGGGAAUCCGGUUCCUAUUCCGGAACCCGGCAGCGGAACCGUCUCCAAAUCGGGCCCUCGCAAGAGAGUUCGUCGGGGCAACCCAACAUGACCCGGAGACGCCGUCGGGAGAUCCGGGAAGAGUUUUCUUUUCUGCAUGAGCGUUCGAGUUCCAUGGAAUCCUCUAGCAGGGAGAUAUGGUUUGGAACGCGAAGAGCACCGCAGUUGCGGCGGUGUCCGGAUCUUCCCCUCGGACCUUGAAAAUCCGGGAGAGGGCCACGUGGAAAUGUCGCGCCGGCUCGUACCCAUAUCCGCAGCAGGUCUCCAAGGU